Molecule: long non-coding RNA, 261 nt
Filed under: Erythranthe guttata (spotted monkey flower)
Lineage: Eukaryota; Viridiplantae; Streptophyta; Magnoliopsida; Lamiales; Phrymaceae
Description: long non-coding RNA (EGUT_LNC003907)
Source: RNAcentral
CUAGAUCUUCCUCCCUCAUCGUCAGCACACCGCCGCCACACCACACCAUCACCACCCCACUUCGAUACUCUUACGGUUUUUUUAUUACAAAUAAAGUAAAUCACAACCCGCACCACCAACCAAAGCAGAACCACCACCCAUCAAAAUCCUAUUCCAGCAACAAUCGACGAAAAAGUCAUCUUCCUAGCACUCGUUCCGGCAACACGCGGCGAAAAAGCCAUCUCCAAGAGAAGGUAAAGGAGAAGGAGCGUCGUUCUAGUG